GGUGGCGAUUGGCGGACGGGUGAGUAGAGCAUCUGGAUCUAGCCUGAGGUGGGGGAUAAACUCGGGAAACCGUUACUAAUACCGCAUACGUCCUACGGGAGAAAGCGGGGGACCUUCGGGCCUCGCGCGGCAGGACGAACCGAGGCGCGAUUAUUUAUUUGGCGGGGUAACGGCCCACCAAGGCGACGAUCGCUAGCUGGUCUGAGAGGAUGAUCAGCCACACUGGGACUGAGACACGGCCCAGACUCCUACGGGAGGCAGCAGUGGGGAAUAUUGGACAAUGGGCGCAAGCCUGAUCCAGCAAUGCCGCGUGUGUGAAGAAGGCCUUCGGGUUGUAAAGCACUUUUAUCAGGAGCGAAAUACCACGGGUUAAUACCCUAUGGGGCUGACGGUACCUGAGGAAUAAGCACCGGCUAACUUCGUGGCAGCAGCCGCGGGUAUACGAAGGGGUGCAACCGUUAAUCCGAAAUAACUGGGCGUUAAAGGGUGC
Molecule: ribosomal RNA, 490 nt
Filed under: uncultured bacterium
Lineage: Bacteria
Description: bacterial SSU rRNA
Rfam family: Bacterial small subunit ribosomal RNA
Source: RNAcentral